Molecule: ribosomal RNA, 253 nt
Filed under: uncultured bacterium
Lineage: Bacteria
Description: partial 16S ribosomal RNA
Rfam family: Bacterial small subunit ribosomal RNA
Source: RNAcentral
UACGAAGGGGGCUAGCGUUGUUCGGAAUUACUGGGCGUAAAGCGCACGUAGGCGGAUUUGUAAGUCAGGGGUGAAAUCCCGGGGCUCAACCUCGGAACUGCCUUUGAUACUGCAAGUCUCGAGUCCGAUAGAGGUGAGUGGAAUUCCUAGUGUAGAGGUGAAAUUCGUAGAUAUUAGGAAGAACACCAGUGGCGAAGGCGGCUCACUGGAUCGGUACUGACGCUGAGGUGCGAAAGCGUGGGGAGCGAUCCGG